CUAAGAAUAUUCCGCAAUGGACGGAAGUCUGACGGAGCGACGCCGCGUGGAUGACGAAGGCCGAAAGGUUGUAAAGUUCUUUUGCUGGGGAAGAAUAACCGCAGGAGGGAAUGCCUGUGGGAUGACAAGAACCGGCGAAUAAGCCCCGGCCAACUACGUGCCAGCAGCCGCGGUAACACGUAGGGGGCGAGCGUUGUUCGGAAUUACUGGGCGUAAAGGGCAUGUAGGCGGCUUGGAAAGCCUGGCGUGAAAGUCUGCAGCUUAACUGCAGGGGUGCGCUGGGAACUGCUGAGCUUGAGUGACGGAGAGGGAGCUGGAAUUCCUGGUGUAGGGGUGAAAUCUGUAGAUAUCAGGAAGAACACCGAUGGCGAAGGCAAGCUCCUGGCCGAUGACUGACGCUGAGGUGCGAAAGUGUGGGGAUCAAACAGGAUUAGAUACCCUGGUAGUCCACACAGUCAACGAUGUGCACUAGGUGCUGGGGCGGUAGCUUCGGUGCCGGAGCGAACGUGGUAAGUGCACCGCCUGGGGGAG
Molecule: ribosomal RNA, 531 nt
Filed under: uncultured bacterium
Lineage: Bacteria
Description: partial 16S ribosomal RNA
Rfam family: Bacterial small subunit ribosomal RNA
Source: RNAcentral